UACAGAGGUCUCAAGCGUUGUUCGGAUUCAUUGGGCGUAAAGGGUGUGUAGGUGGCGCCGUAAGUCGGGUGUGAAAUUUCGGAGCUUAACUCCGAAACUGCAUUCGAUACUGCCGUGCUUGAGGACUGGAGAGGAGACUGGAAUUUACGGUGUAGCGGUGAAAUGCGUAGAUAUCGUAAGGAAGACCAGUGGCGAAGGCAGCUCGCUGGGACGUUACUGACGCUGAGACGCGAAAGCGUGGGGAGCAAACAGG
This 253-nucleotide ribosomal RNA is filed under the name uncultured bacterium. RNAcentral's name for it is "partial 16S ribosomal RNA". It matches the Rfam family "Bacterial small subunit ribosomal RNA", at positions 524 to 776 of the family's 1533-position model. The record is from RNAcentral.